RNAcentral lists this ribosomal RNA (343 nucleotides) under uncultured bacterium. RNAcentral describes it as "bacterial SSU rRNA". It matches the Rfam family "Bacterial small subunit ribosomal RNA", at positions 1 to 334 of the family's 1533-position model. The record is from RNAcentral.
ACAGAUCGUUCAGAGUUUGAUCCUGGCUCAGGAUGAACGCUAGCGACAGGCCUAACACAUGCAAGUCGAGGGGCAGCACGAAGUAAGCUUGCUUACUUUGGUGGCGACCGGCGCACGGGUGCGUAACAGGUGUGCAAUCUGUCCAUAAUCGGGGAAUAGCCCAGCGAAAGUUGGAUUAAUGCUCCAUGUGAGUAAGAGAGGCAUCUCUUUUAUUUGAAACGCAAGGAUUAUGGGUGAGCACGCUUCUGAUUAGGUAGUUGGUGAGGUAACGGCUCACCAAGCCGACGAUCAGCAGGGGUUCUGAGAGGAAGGUCCCCCACAUUGGAACUGAGACACGGUCCAA